Long non-coding RNA from Oreochromis niloticus (Nile tilapia), 1994 nucleotides. RefSeq annotates it as zinc finger MYM-type protein 1. NCBI's taxonomy places the organism in Eukaryota, Metazoa, Chordata, Actinopteri, Cichliformes, Cichlidae. The record is from RefSeq and is a predicted model, not a curated record.
GUCCAGCGGGGUGGCCUGGGGGGGCACAGGCCACCCCCACAACCAGACUGGCCACCCCAGGUGCCACCCCGAAACUAAAACAAUAAAAUUCAAUUAAACAUCAAAUGUACGAUUACGUUUUCGUAGUGAAGCUCAGAUGUCCGAGUGUAAGUGAAUGCAGCAUCGGCAAAGGAAGGAGAAAGACGGCACCACAGAGAACAAUUUUCCGGCGAAAGAAAAUGAUGAGAAAAUAAAUGUCCCGGUAAGUAAUAUUAAGUUUGUUGAGUUUAGUAAACUUCGGUGAAAUUAGAAUACCAAGGAAAAAAUAACACUUAAAGAAUUAUUGCAACCGCAGAAUAUUUCAGUAGGCUACUGGGGGGAGCUAGCAUAAGAGUUAAGAGUUAUAAGAUAUAAUCCAAGUCGUAACAUUGCUGUAUGGAGCUGCAGAAUUUGUUGCAGGUUAAUACUGGCAGUGUCACCAUGUCACCUGUCUGUAUUUCAUCAUCAGCCAGUGUUGUUCUUUAUACAUCAAUAUUACCAAAGUUUACCAUAAGGCACCACUUACACACUGUGCGGUCUAGCUAAUUUCUCUCAUUACUUAUCCUAUCUGCCAGCUCCAUGUUAUGAAUAGUGUAAAUCACCCCAUGAAACGGCUGUGCCAUGUUCAAUGCAGGGAUGUGCAGUUCUGCUUCUCAAGGCUCCUGUCCUCCCGUUUCCAUACUUCAACACAGCUGAUUUAAAGAAUUAUUUACAGACUUGUGCACAACUAGGUGUUUGGGGAUUAUUUGAUUUGAAUUGGCUAUGUUGGUAUAGGUAACAUCUAAAACAUGCAUGAUAGGAGUCCAUGAGUGCCAGAUUUGACAUCCCUGACUUCCAGUCAAGGUCAUACAUCAGGAAAGUUGUUGUUUGUGACAUAAGUUUUUGCUUUAUUACUUCAGGGCCAACCAGUAUAGAUAAAAGAAUAGGAGUGAAGAAUGAAAAGAUCUCAAAAUAUUGAGAAUUUCUUCCUUAAGAAGGCUAAAAUAACGCCAGAAGCAGAGAGCAAUGUCAGGGAAAGGUGGACUGAGCAGCAGUCAUCAUUGUCACCUGUGAUUUCUACAAAUGAAGGCACUUCUUCACCUGUUCAUGAUCCACCAGAUAACCAGGAUGUGGUGCCUUUUGAAACAUCUUCUCCUUCAACAUCAUGUACGACACCAGGCCAUCCACAUGAUAUAUCUCAAAAUCCAGCGGAGGGACCUAGACAGCCACACUUGAAGAUAUUUCCUCGAACACUACAUGGUGAAAAGAGGAGGGCCUUCAGCAAGACAUGGUAUUCACAACACAAAUGGCUGGAAUAUUCUCAAAGUCUGGACUCUGUCUAUUGUUUUGCAUGUAGACACUUUUCCCUUCCAAAUGCUUCUGAAACUCCUUUUACAUCACAUGAAGGGUACUCAAACUGGAAGAAGGCGAUGUAUAAAGAUGGAGGUUUUAAGGGGCAUGAGAAAUCUGAAGGUCAUAUGAAUGCCAUGUAUGCUUGGAGUGAACAUAAGAACAACAUUUUGACAGAUUCAUCUGUGCGUGAUGCUUUGGACAAGGCAUAUAAAAAAAAAGUAGAGGAAAAUCGCAUAUAUAUCAAAACUGUUGCUGAAGUACUUCUCCUUACAGCUAUGCAAAACAUCUCCCAAAGGGGGCAUCUUGAGACAGAUACAUCACAAAACAAAGGGAACGUUUUAGAGAUAAUGGAACUUAUUUCUAAGCAUAAUCCACUGAUUGCAAAAAAAAUGAAAGCUGCAGGAAAUGCAAAAUAUACCAGUAACACCAUUCAGAAUGAAGUAAUGGAAUGUCUGUCAGAGAUGGUACGUGAAGACAUUAUCAGAGAAGUGAAGGAGAGUGAGUACUUCUCUGUGAUUGCAGAUGAAACAAAAGACCUAAAGAAAACAGAGCAACUGUCAUUAGUACUAAGGUAUUACUACAAUGGGGCUGUUCAAGAGAGUUUUUUAGAGUUCCAGAGAGCAAGUCAGCUAGAUGCGGCAGGG